AGUAUUACGCCGGAUGAACGGGGAUCAUUGAUGUUGAUCAACAUAGGAGAUUGUAUCUCUUUAAUAUUA
RNAcentral lists this transfer RNA (69 nucleotides) under Pila virens. RNAcentral describes it as "tRNA-Ile". The record is from RNAcentral. Lineage: Eukaryota; Metazoa; Mollusca; Gastropoda; Architaenioglossa; Ampullariidae.